AGUGAACGCUGGCGGUAGGCCUAACACAUGCAAGUCGAACGGCAGCACAGUAAGAGCUUGCUCUUACGGGUGGCGAGUGGCGGACGGGUGAGGAAUACAUCGGAAUCUACUUUUUCGUGGGGGAUAACGUAGGGAAACUUACGCUAAUACCGCAUACGACCUACGGGUGAAAGCAGGGGAUCUUCGGACCUUGCGCGAUUGAAUGAGCCGAUGUCGGAUUAGCUAGUUGGCGGGGUAAAGGCCCACCAAGGCGACGAUCCGUAGCUGGUCUGAGAGGAUGAUCAGCCACACUGGAACUGAGACACGGUCCAGACUCCUACGGGAGGCAGCAGUGGGGAAUAUUGGACAAUGGGCGCAAGCCUGAUCCAGCCAUACCGCGUGGGUGAAGAAGGCCUUCGGGUUGUAAAGCCCUUUUGCUGGGAAAGAAAAGCAGCAGGUUAAUACCCCGCUGUUCUGACGGGACCCAAAGAAUAAGCACCGGCUAACUUCGU
Molecule: ribosomal RNA, 491 nt
Filed under: uncultured bacterium
Lineage: Bacteria
Description: partial 16S ribosomal RNA
Rfam family: Bacterial small subunit ribosomal RNA
Source: RNAcentral